Molecule: ribosomal RNA, 424 nt
Filed under: uncultured bacterium
Lineage: Bacteria
Description: bacterial SSU rRNA
Rfam family: Bacterial small subunit ribosomal RNA
Source: RNAcentral
UGAGGAAUAUUGGUCAAUGGGCGGGAGCCUGAACCAGCCAAGUCGCGUGAAGGAUGAAGGAUCUAUGGUUCGUAAACUUCUUUUAUAGGGGAAUAAAGUUCGGGACGUGUCCCGUUUUGUAUGUACCCUGUGAAUAAGGAUCGGCUAACUCCGUGCCAGCAGCCGCGGUAAUACGGAGGAUCCGAGCGUUAUCCGGAUUUAUUGGGUUUAAAGGGUGCGUAGGUGGUUUUUUAAGUCAGCGGUGAAAGUUUGUGGCUCAACCAUAAAAUUGCCGUUGAAACUGGAGGACUUGAGUAUGUUUGAGGUAGGCGGAAUGCGUGGUGUAGCGGUGAAAUGCAUAGAUAUCACGCAGAACUCCGAUUGCGAAGGCAGCUUACUAAACCAUAACUGACACUGAAGCACGAAAGCGUGGGGAUCAAACAGG